Molecule: ribosomal RNA, 668 nt
Filed under: uncultured Pseudomonadota bacterium
Lineage: Bacteria; Pseudomonadati; Pseudomonadota
Description: bacterial SSU rRNA
Rfam family: Bacterial small subunit ribosomal RNA
Source: RNAcentral
GUCAGAUUAGGNNGUUGGUGGGGUAAAAGCCUACCAAGCCUUCGAUCUGUAGCUGGUCUGAGAGGACGACCAGCCACACUGGGACUGAGAGACGGCCCAGACUCCUACGGGAGGCAGCAGUGGGGAAUUUUGGACAAUGGGCGCAAGCCUGAUCCAGCCAUGCCGCGUGCGGGAAGAAGGCCUUCGGGUUGUAAACCGCUUUUGUCAGGGAAGAAAUCCUUUGAGCUAAUACCUCGGGGGGAUGACGGUACCUGAAGAAUAAGCACCGGCUAACUACGUGCCAGCAGCCGCGGUAAUACGUAGGGUGCGAGCGUUAAUCGGAAUUACUGGGCGUAAAGCGUGCGCAGGCGGUUGUGCAAGACAGGUGUGAAAUCCCCGGGCUUAACCUGGGAACUGCACUUGUGACUGCACGGCUUGAGUGCGGCAGAGGGGGAUGGAAUUCCGCGUGUAGCAGUGAAAUGCGUAGAUAUGCGGAGGAACACCGAUGGCGAAGGCAAUCCCCUGGGCCUGCACUGACGCUCAUGCACGAAAGCGUGGGGAGCAAACAGGAUUAGAUACCCUGGUAGUCCACGCCCUAAACGAUGUCAACUGGUUGUUGGGAGGGUUUCUUCUCAGUAACGUAGCUAACGCGUGAAGUUGACCGCCUGGGGAGUACGGCCGCAAGGUUG